RNAcentral lists this ribosomal RNA (433 nucleotides) under uncultured bacterium. RNAcentral describes it as "partial 16S ribosomal RNA". It matches the Rfam family "Bacterial small subunit ribosomal RNA", at positions 29 to 507 of the family's 1533-position model. The record is from RNAcentral.
AACGAACGCUGGCGGCAUGCCUAACACAUGCAAGUCGAACGAGACCUUCGGGUCUAGUGGCGCACGGGUGCGUAACGCGUGGGAACCUGCCCUUAGGUUCGGAAUAACUCCCCGAAAGGGGUGCUAAUACCGGAUAAUGUCUUCGGACCAAAGAUUUAUCGCCUUUGGAUGGGCCCGCGUUGGAUUAGCUAGUUGGUAGGGUAAAAGCCUACCAAGGCGACGAUCCAUAGCUGGUCUGAGAGGAUGAUCAGCCACACUGGGACUGAGACACGGCCCAGACUCCUACGGGAGGCAGCAGUGGGGAAUAUUGGACAAUGGGCGAAAGCCUGAUCCAGCAAUGCCGCGUGAGUGAUGAAGGCCUUAGGGUUGUAAAGCUCUUUUACCCGGGAUGAUAAUGACAGUACCGGGAGAAUAAGCCCCGGCUAACUCCGUA